This 1181-nucleotide long non-coding RNA is filed under the name Canis lupus familiaris (dog). RNAcentral's name for it is "lncRNA (ENSCAFG00000053028.1)". The record is from RNAcentral. Lineage: Eukaryota; Metazoa; Chordata; Mammalia; Carnivora; Canidae.
GCAGAGUCACUGCCGGGAGUUAACAUCCGUUUAUCGGCACCAGCCGCUCGUGAAAAGGGGCUACUUCAAAUAGAGAAAUAAAAUGGCUUUUUGGUGAUGGAAAACAUCAUAUUUUAUUUUAUUUUUUUAAAUUUCUUUUAAUUGGAGCUCAAUUUGCCAACAUACAGCAUAACACCCAGUGUUCAUCCCAUCAAGUGGAAAACAUCCUUUUUUUUUUUUUUUUGAAAACGUCCUAUUUUAAAACGAGGCACCGACUGUCAACCGCAGGCUCGAUGCCGUUGAGAGGAGGGGAGGACACGAGGCACGUUUACUCACGUGUGGACCCCGAGCCCGCCACAGCGAAAAAAUUAGCCGGUCACGCCUCCGGUUGGUUGGAAAGUCAAUACAAGUAAGAAACUCGAGAAAGGAGGAAACAUGGAAUUAAAACAUGGUAGUAAAAAAAAAAAAAUUAAAUUAAUUAAAAAAUAAAAAAAUACAACAUGGUAGUGAGCGGUUAAAGAAGUUUGCAGCCACGUCUAGUUUUUCACGAUCAAUUUAAGAAACCUGAAGCAAUUGCUUAAAAAAGCAGUUCCAUAAAUAAAUAAAUAAAAAUACAAUAAAAAAAUAAAUAAAAGCAGGUCCUGGCACACGCACGUGUGGGGGCGGGAGAGACGGAGACUGCGCUGGACACCGGUGAGAGGACGUGGUGCGUCGGCCGCUCCCAGGUCGUCCCUGUGGGGGCAGCGGUUCACCUGCACGCGAGGCCGUGACCGCAGAGGAGCCGUAGCACACGUGGCCGUGAUUUUCGUUAAAAGGCGCUGGAGCUUCCAAUCACUGAGCGGGAAAGUAGCAAUAAGAGGUGCUCGGGAAUCCAGCUAAGACGGUGCAACAACACCGUGUUCCCCUAAAGUACCACCAAAUGGGGCAGCUCCCGGGGGACGGCCCUAUAGACCCUGGAGGACGGGCCAGGAGGCGGCGUUGCCCCCUCUGCUGCCCCGACGCCGGCAGCCCCCCCCCCCCCCCCCGUCCUGGCCUCGCAUCCCCCGGGCCCCACCCGGCCCCCAGCAGCUGAGCCCGUGUCCUGCGCCCUUGGGUGGCCCCUUGACGGCUCGGAGCCACCGUGCCCGAAUCUGCAAACACACGCACUGGCUCUCGCUCUCGCUCCCUCGGCUUCUUUCUCAAUAAACGUGAAAUCGAUGGCG